AAGAAUUUCAGGCUACAACGACGAGCUAUACCGACGGUCGGUGCAGAAAUGCAGCUAUAGGGUUAUAUAGUGACGGUCCCUCCUCGACCCUAAGUAAAAUAGCUGAAGAGCAGCCCACUAGCGAGGGUCACCGCUUGACCGCAGGUAUAAGGUAUGUUUUUGAGUAAUCUAUUCCGGUGUAAAGUCCAAUUUUUCACGAAGGUAUUCUACGUUCUCUCUCUCAUCUCCCAUUUUUCUCAUCUCCAAAUCUUAGAUCUUGCCCUUUCUUUCUUGCCAAAUUUCAUCUUCUUUUUCUUCAUCUACAGAUCUCAGAUCUUGCCCUUUCUUCAUUGCCAAAUUUCUUCUUCCCUUUCUUCAUCGCCAAAUUUUGUAGCCAAAUCUUCCUCGAAAAUCUCAGAGCUCAAACAUCCUUGUUCGAUCUCAAAGCUAGCAUUGCUCAUCUAGGGCACUCAAAUCUCAAAGCUCCACACGACUUGAAAUUCAUAUUUAUCUUUCUAAAAUUUCAGGUUUGAAAGUGUGACGACCAAUGACAUUGCCAGAUCCAUUGUCUUUUCGUUGAGAAAAAAAUUCCAAAUCCCCUGUCCUCGACUCUAUUUGUAUAAGUAGAAGGUAUGAAUAAUGUUAGAUUCAAUCAAAUGUAUAAUUCGUUUAAUUUUCUUGGUUUUGAUACAUUCAUGAGAUAGGUCGAUUUGAAUUUGGAUUUUUCUAGGUUAAAUUCAGUUUAUAGACAAUUUUAUGAUGAUUCUGUUUGAUUAAUUAUGUUAUGUUAUGUUUGGCAUUCUAGGGAGAGCUGUAUAUGUCUAUUUCACUUUUGGGCUUUCUUGGUUGUUCCAAAACCUUGUCAUUAUAAUCUUAAACAACUCUUUUGCAAAAAGAAGAAAUUUGAGGUAAUUAUGGAACUAUGUAAAUUUUACAUAAUUUGUAAAUUGUGGAAAUCAAUGGAGUAUCUGAAUUGGGAGAGAAAGAGUACUUUUUAUCUCCUUAUUGUCUUCUGUUGUUUUUUGUAGUGAAUCAUAUUAGUAAUAACUGUGUUUAAGAUCCUUAUAUGGCGACUACUCUUAUAAAGAAGAUAACUUGGGUCAUUUGAAAAUUUUAC
Molecule: long non-coding RNA, 1096 nt
Filed under: Panax ginseng (ginseng)
Lineage: Eukaryota; Viridiplantae; Streptophyta; Magnoliopsida; Apiales; Araliaceae
Description: long non-coding RNA (PGIN_LNC003418)
Source: RNAcentral